UACAGAGGUCUCGAGCGUUGUUCGGAUUCAUUGGGCGUAAAGGGCGCGUAGGCGGCGGGGUAAGUCUGGUGUGAAAUCUCGGAGCUCAACUCCGAAAUUGCACUGGAUACUGCUCUGCUAGAGGGCUGGAGAGGAGAUCGGAAUUCACGGUGUAGCAGUGAAAUGCGUAGAUAUCGUGAGGAAGACCAGUGGCGAAGGCGGAUCUCUGGACAGUUCCUGACGCUGAGGCACGAAGGCCAGGGGAGCAAACGGG
This 253-nucleotide ribosomal RNA is filed under the name uncultured bacterium. RNAcentral describes it as "partial 16S ribosomal RNA". It matches the Rfam family "Bacterial small subunit ribosomal RNA", at positions 524 to 776 of the family's 1533-position model. The record is from RNAcentral.